RNAcentral lists this ribosomal RNA (569 nucleotides) under uncultured Gammaproteobacteria bacterium. Its description in RNAcentral is "bacterial SSU rRNA". It matches the Rfam family "Bacterial small subunit ribosomal RNA", at positions 812 to 1381 of the family's 1533-position model. The record is from RNAcentral. Lineage: Bacteria; Pseudomonadati; Pseudomonadota; Gammaproteobacteria.
UCGAUUUGGAGUUUGUUGCCCUGAGUGAUGGGCUCCGAAGCUAACGCGAUAAAUCGACCGCCUGGGGAGUACGGCCGCAAGGUUAAAACUCAAAUGAAUUGACGGGGGCCCGCACAAGCGGUGGAGCAUGUGGUUUAAUUCGAUGCAACGCGAAGAACCUUACCUGGUCUUGACAUCCACAGAAUCUAGCAGAGAUGCGAGAGUGCCUUCGGGAACUGUGAGACAGGUGCUGCAUGGCUGUCGUCAGCUCGUGUUGUGAAAUGUUGGGUUAAGUCCCGCAACGAGCGCAACCCUUAUCCUUUGUUGCCAGCGGUUUGGCCGGGAACUCAAAGGAGACUGCCGUUGAUAAAGCGGAGGAAGGUGGGGACGACGUCAAGUCAUCAUGGCCCUUACGACCAGGGCUACACACGUGCUACAAUGGCGUAUACAAAGGGAGGCGACCUCGCGAGAGCAAGCGGACCUCAUAAAGUACGUCUAAGUCCGGAUUGGAGUCUGCAACUCGACUCCAUGAAGUCGGAAUCGCUAGUAAUCGUGAAUCAGAAUGUCACGGUGAAUACGUUCCCGGGCCU